CUAACGUGAGAUCUGGAGAGUCCAACAUGGGUCCUUAGGCUUCGCAGGCAAGCACCCCAACGACUAAGCCAUCUCUUCAGCCCAGAAUGAGAAUAAUCCUCGAGUCAACCGAGGUUGGUAGGGCUCAAACCUGGAACCAGAUGGUGCGGCCAUGCCUAUCACGCAGGGAGCUCAUGCCUGGGACGCCAUAACACUGCAGCCAGGCCCGAAAGGCAGCAAAGUCCUCCUCUCCACUAUCAGGCCCGUAGCCUUUGCCUCCUGUGGGACAGAGCAACUGUGUAGAGGCUGACGUCCCACUGAAGGUCACGGCCUCCCCAUCCUGCCCUGCUUGCUGCCUGGGAGACUAGGAGGAAGCAAACACUGGCCAAGAGACCUCGUCCAUUAGUGACAAUAGGGUUUGCAGACUCCCAUCCCCCCAGGGCCUGAAGAAGGCAGUGGCCCAGGGUUAUACUGGCCAUCUCAGCAUGCCCAAGCCUUACCCAGAUGAACCACUUCCUUGGGCACUGAGUGACACAGCUCCAGUAGGUCUGGGUUCUGCAACUUGGCCCUGAUCUUCUGGCUCAGGGUCAGCUCUGGG
Long non-coding RNA from Jaculus jaculus (lesser Egyptian jerboa), 577 nucleotides. RefSeq lists it as uncharacterized. The transcript has 3 exons. Lineage: Eukaryota; Metazoa; Chordata; Mammalia; Rodentia; Dipodidae. The record is from RefSeq and is a predicted model, not a curated record.